GAUGAACGCUGGCGGCGUGCCUAAUACAUGCAAGUCGAGCGAACAGACGAGGAGCUUGCUCCUCUGACUUUAUCGGCGGACGGGUGAGUAACACGUGGAUAGCCUACCUAUAAGACUGGGAUAACUUCGGGAAACCGGAGCUAAUACCGGAUAAUAUAUUGAACCGCAUGGUUCAAUAGUGAAAGACGGUUUUGCUGUCACUUAUAGAUUGAUCCGCGCCGCAUUAGCUAGUUGGUAAGGUAACGGCUUACCAAGGCAACGAGGCGUAGCCGACCUGAGAGGGUGAUCGGCCACACUGGAACUGAGACACGGUCCAGACUCCUACGGGAGGCAGCAGUAGGGAAUCUUCCGCAAUGGGCGAAAGCCUGACGGAGCAACGCCGCGUGAGUGAUGAAGGUCUUCGGAUCGUAAAACUCUGUUAUCAGGGAAGAACAAAUGUGUAAGUAACUAUGCACGUCUUGACGGUACCUAAUCAGAAAGCCACGGCUAACUACGUG
This 497-nucleotide ribosomal RNA is filed under the name uncultured bacterium. RNAcentral's name for it is "partial 16S ribosomal RNA". It matches the Rfam family "Bacterial small subunit ribosomal RNA", at positions 28 to 507 of the family's 1533-position model. The record is from RNAcentral.